This 482-nucleotide ribosomal RNA is filed under the name uncultured organism. Its description in RNAcentral is "bacterial SSU rRNA". It matches the Rfam family "Bacterial small subunit ribosomal RNA", at positions 28 to 507 of the family's 1533-position model. The record is from RNAcentral.
GACGAACGCUGGCGGCGUGCCUAACACAUGCAAGUCGAACGAAGCACUUCUGAAUGGAGAUUCGUCAAAGUUCAGAUUUGACUUAGUGGCGGACGGGUGAGUAAUGCAUGAGCAACCUGCCCUGCAGUGGGGGACAACAGUUGGAAACGACUGCUAAUACCGCAUGAUGUAUCUGGAAGGCAUCUUCCGGAUACCAAAGAUUUAUCGCUGUGGGAUGGGCUCAUGUCUGAUUAGUUAGUUGGUGGGGUAACGGCCUACCAAGACUGCGAUCAGUAGCCGGACUGAGAGGUUGAACGGCCACAUUGGGACUGAGAUACGGCCCAGACUCCUACGGGAGGCAGCAGUGGGGAAUAUUGGGCAAUGGGCGAAAGCCUGACCCAGCAACGCCGCGUGAAGGAAGAAGGUCUUCGGAUUGUAAACUUCUUUUAUGAGGGACGAAGGAAGUGACGGUACCUCAUGAAUAAGCCACGGCUAACUACGUG